Molecule: ribosomal RNA, 253 nt
Filed under: uncultured bacterium
Lineage: Bacteria
Description: partial 16S ribosomal RNA
Rfam family: Bacterial small subunit ribosomal RNA
Source: RNAcentral
UACGGAGGGUGCGAGCGUUAAUCGGAAUUACUGGGCGUAAAGGGUGCGUAGGUUGUUGAAUAAGUUAUCUGUGAAAUCCCUGGGCUUAACCUGGGCAGGUCAGAUAAGACUGUUUGACUCGAGUAUGGGAGAGGGUAGUGGAAUUUCCGGUGUAGCGGUGAAAUGCGUAGAGAUCGGAAGGAACACCAGUGGCGAAGGCGGCUACCUGGCCCAAUACUGACACUGAGGCACGAAAGCGUGGGGAGCAAACAGG